RNAcentral lists this small RNA (119 nucleotides) under Pseudomonas guineae. Lineage: Bacteria; Pseudomonadati; Pseudomonadota; Gammaproteobacteria; Pseudomonadales; Pseudomonadaceae. The record is from RNAcentral.
CAGGACGUCGCGCAGGAAGCGCAUUGAAGAAAAGGGAUACGUGGGAUAGCUGCCAGGAUGGCAAGCAGAUCAAGGAUGUCAGCAAACAGUCUGCAAAAGCCCCGCAAUCGCGGGGUUUU